This 23-nucleotide microRNA is filed under the name Alligator mississippiensis (American alligator). RNAcentral describes it as "ami-miR-9610-3p". Lineage: Eukaryota; Metazoa; Chordata; Crocodylia; Alligatoridae. The record is from miRBase by way of RNAcentral.
CCAGGAGGCUGUCUGUCACACCA